RNAcentral lists this ribosomal RNA (497 nucleotides) under uncultured bacterium. RNAcentral describes it as "partial 16S ribosomal RNA". It matches the Rfam family "Bacterial small subunit ribosomal RNA", at positions 28 to 507 of the family's 1533-position model. The record is from RNAcentral.
GAUGAACACUGGCGGUGUGCCUAAUACAUGCAAGUCGAGCGAACAGACGAGGAGCUUACUCCUCUGACGUUAGCGGCGGACGGGUGAGUAACACGUGGAUAACCUACCUAUAAGACUGGGAUAACUUCGGGAAACCGGAGCUAAUACCGGAUAACAUGUUGAACCGCAUGGUUCAACAGUGAAAGACGGUCUUGCUGUCACUUAUAGAUGGAUCCGCGUCGCAUUAGCUAGUUGGUAAGGUAACGGCUUACCAAGGCAACGAUGCGUAGCCGACCUGAGAGGGUGAUCGGCCACACUGGAACUGAGACACGGUCCAGACUCCUACGGGAGGCAGCAGUAGGGAAUCUUCCGCAAUGGGCGAAAGCCUGACGGAGCAACGCCGCGUGAGUGAAGAAGGUCUUCGGAUCGUAAAACUCUGUUAUUAGGGAAGAACAAAUGUGUAAGUAACUAUGCACGUCUUGACGGUACCUAAUCAGAAAGCCACGGCUAACUACGUG